This 250-nucleotide ribosomal RNA is filed under the name uncultured bacterium. RNAcentral's name for it is "partial 16S ribosomal RNA". It matches the Rfam family "Bacterial small subunit ribosomal RNA", at positions 524 to 773 of the family's 1533-position model. The record is from RNAcentral.
UACGGAGGGGGCAAGCGUUGUUCGGAGUCACUGGGCGUAAAGAGCUCGUAGGCGGCUUUGUAAGUCGGGAGUUAAAGGCAUCAGCUCAACUGGUGUAAUGCUUUUGAAACUACAUUGCUAGAGUACCAGAGAGGUAUGCGGAAUUUCCUGUGUAGCGGUGAAAUGCGUAGAUAUAGGAAGGAACACCGGUUGCGAAGGCGGCAUACUGGCUGGUAACUGACGCUGAGGAGCGAAAGCGUGGGUAGCAAAC